This 400-nucleotide ribosomal RNA is filed under the name phytoplankton environmental sample. RNAcentral describes it as "partial small subunit ribosomal RNA". It matches the Rfam family "Eukaryotic small subunit ribosomal RNA", at positions 587 to 994 of the family's 1831-position model. The record is from RNAcentral.
AGCUCCAAUAGCGUAUAUUUAAGUUGCUGCAGUUAAAAAGCUCGUAGUUGGAUUUCGGGCGGUCGACGACGGUCCGCCUCUGGUGUGCACUGCCGCUCGUCCGCCUUUCUGCCGGGGACGUGCUCCUGGGCUUCACUGUCUGGGACACGGGUUCGGCGAGGUUACUUUGAGUAAAUUAGAGUGUUCAAAGCAGGCAUCGCCUUGAAUAUAUUAGCAUGGAAUAGCACGAUAGGACUCUGGCCUAUUCUGCUGGUCUGUAGGACCGGAGUAAUGAUUAAGAGGGACAGUCGGGGGCAUUCGUAUUUCAUUGUCAGAGGUGAAAUUCUUGGAUUUAUGAAAGACGAACUUCUGCGAAAGCAUUUGCCAAGGAUGUUUUCAUUGAUCAAGAACGAAAGUACGC